UACGUAGGGUCCGAGCGUUGUCCGGAAUUAUUGGGCGUAAAGAGCUCGUAGGCGGUCUGUCACGUCGGCUGUGAAAACACGGGGCUCAACUCCGUGCCUGCAGUCGAUACCGGCAGACUAGAGUUCGGUAGGGGAGACUGGAAUUCCUGGUGUAGCGGUGAAAUGCGCAGAUAUCAGGAGGAACACCGGUGGCGAAGGCGGGUCUCUGGGCCGAAACUGACCCUGAGGAGCGAAAGCGUGGGGAGCGAACAGG
Molecule: ribosomal RNA, 253 nt
Filed under: uncultured bacterium
Lineage: Bacteria
Description: partial 16S ribosomal RNA
Rfam family: Bacterial small subunit ribosomal RNA
Source: RNAcentral